Molecule: ribosomal RNA, 2891 nt
Filed under: Klebsiella pneumoniae
Lineage: Bacteria; Pseudomonadati; Pseudomonadota; Gammaproteobacteria; Enterobacterales; Enterobacteriaceae
Description: bacterial LSU rRNA
Rfam family: Bacterial large subunit ribosomal RNA
Source: RNAcentral
ACUAAGCGUACACGGUGGAUGCCCUGGCAGUCAGAGGCGAUGAAGGACGUGCUAAUCUGCGAAAAGCGUCGGUAAGGUGAUAUGAACCGUUAUAACCGGCGAUGUCCGAAUGGGGAAACCCAGUGUGAUUCGUCACACUAUCGUUAACUGAAUACAUAGGUUAACGAGGCGAACCGGGGGAACUGAAACAUCUAAGUACCCCGAGGAAAAGAAAUCAACCGAGAUUCCCCCAGUAGCGGCGAGCGAACGGGGAGCAGCCCAGAGUCUGAAUCAGCUUGUGUGUUAGUGGAACGGUCUGGAAAGUCCGACGGUACAGGGUGAUAGUCCCGUACACCAAAAUGCACAGGUUGUGAACUCGAAGAGUAGGGCGGGACACGUGGUAUCCUGUCUGAAUAUGGGGGGACCAUCCUCCAAGGCUAAAUACUCCUGACUGACCGAUAGUGAACCAGUACCGUGAGGGAAAGGCGAAAAGAACCCCGGCGAGGGGAGUGAAAAAGAACCUGAAACCGUGUACGUACAAGCAGUGGGAGCACCUUCGGGUGUGACUGCGUACCUUUUGUAUAAUGGGUCAGCGACUUAUAUUCUGUAGCAAGGUUAACCGUAUAGGGGAGCCGCAGGGAAACCGAGUCUUAACUGGGCGUUAAGUUGCAGGGUAUAGACCCGAAACCCGGUGAUCUAGCCAUGGGCAGGUUGAAGGUUGGGUAACACUAACUGGAGGACCGAACCGACUAAUGUUGAAAAAUUAGCGGAUGACUUGUGGCUGGGGGUGAAAGGCCAAUCAAACCGGGAGAUAGCUGGUUCUCCCCGAAAGCUAUUUAGGUAGCGCCUCGUGAAUUCAUCUUCGGGGGUAGAGCACUGUUUCGGCUAGGGGGUCAUCCCGACUUACCAACCCGAUGCAAACUACGAAUACCGAAGAAUGUUAUCACGGGAGACACACGGCGGGUGCUAACGUCCGUCGUGAAGAGGGAAACAACCCAGACCGCCAGCUAAGGUCCCAAAGUCAUGGUUAAGUGGGAAACGAUGUGGGAAGGCACAGACAGCCAGGAUGUUGGCUUAGAAGCAGCCAUCAUUUAAAGAAAGCGUAAUAGCUCACUGGUCGAGUCGGCCUGCGCGGAAGAUGUAACGGGGCUAAACCAUGCACCGAAGCUGCGGCAGCGACACUAUGUGUUGUUGGGUAGGGGAGCGUUCUGUAAGCCUGCGAAGGUGUGCUGUGAGGCAUGCUGGAGGUAUCAGAAGUGCGAAUGCUGACAUAAGUAACGAUAAAGCGGGUGAAAAGCCCGCUCGCCGGAAGACCAAGGGUUCCUGUCCAACGUUAAUCGGGGCAGGGUGAGUCGACCCCUAAGGCGAGGCCGAAAGGCGUAGUCGAUGGGAAACAGGUUAAUAUUCCUGUACUUGGUGUUACUGCGAAGGGGGGACGGAGAAGGCUAUGUUAGCCGGGCGACGGUUGUCCCGGUUUAAGCAUGUAGGCUGGUUGUCCAGGCAAAUCCGGAUAAUCAAGGCUGAGGUGUGAUGACGAGGCACUACGGUGCUGAAGUAACAAAUGCCCUGCUUCCAGGAAAAGCCUCUAAGCAUCAGGUAACAUCAAAUCGUACCCCAAACCGACACAGGUGGUCAGGUAGAGAAUACCAAGGCGCUUGAGAGAACUCGGGUGAAGGAACUAGGCAAAAUGGUGCCGUAACUUCGGGAGAAGGCACGCUGGUGUGUAGGUGAAGUCCCUGCGGAUGGAGCUGAGACCAGUCGAAGAUACCAGCUGGCUGCAACUGUUUAUUAAAAACACAGCACUGUGCAAACACGAAAGUGGACGUAUACGGUGUGACGCCUGCCCGGUGCCGGAAGGUUAAUUGAUGGGGUUAUCCGUAAGGAGAAGCUCUUGAUCGAAGCCCCGGUAAACGGCGGCCGUAACUAUAACGGUCCUAAGGUAGCGAAAUUCCUUGUCGGGUAAGUUCCGACCUGCACGAAUGGCGUAAUGAUGGCCAGGCUGUCUCCACCCGAGACUCAGUGAAAUUGAACUCGCUGUGAAGAUGCAGUGUACCCGCGGCAAGACGGAAAGACCCCGUGAACCUUUACUAUAGCUUGACACUGAACAUUGAGCCUUGAUGUGUAGGAUAGGUGGGAGGCUUUGAAGCGUGGACGCCAGUCUGCGUGGAGCCAACCUUGAAAUACCACCCUUUAAUGUUUGAUGUUCUAACGUUGGCCCCUUAUCGGGGUUGCGGACAGUGUCUGGUGGGUAGUUUGACUGGGGCGGUCUCCUCCCAAAGCGUAACGGAGGAGCACGAAGGUUAGCUAAUCCUGGUCGGACAUCAGGAGGUUAGUGCAAUGGCAUAAGCUAGCUUGACUGCGAGCGUGACGGCGCGAGCAGGUGCGAAAGCAGGUCAUAGUGAUCCGGUGGUUCUGAAUGGAAGGGCCAUCGCUCAACGGAUAAAAGGUACUCCGGGGAUAACAGGCUGAUACCGCCCAAGAGUUCAUAUCGACGGCGGUGUUUGGCACCUCGAUGUCGGCUCAUCACAUCCUGGGGCUGAAGUAGGUCCCAAGGGUAUGGCUGUUCGCCAUUUAAAGUGGUACGCGAGCUGGGUUUAGAACGUCGUGAGACAGUUCGGUCCCUAUCUGCCGUGGGCGCUGGAGAAUUGAGGGGGGCUGCUCCUAGUACGAGAGGACCGGAGUGGACGCAUCACUGGUGUUCGGGUUGUCAUGCCAAUGGCACUGCCCGGUAGCUAAAUGCGGAAGAGAUAAGUGCUGAAAGCAUCUAAGCACGAAACUUGCCCCGAGAUGAGUUCUCCCUGAGACUUUAAGUCUCCUGAAGGAACGUUAAAGACGAUGACGUUGAUAGGCCGGGUGUGUAAGCGCAGCGAUGCGUUGAGCUAACCGGUACUAAUGAACCGUGAGGCUUAACC